GAAAUAAAAAUAGUUGCCUGCUGCUGGAAUCUAACCAGCGUCGCCACGGCCACAACGUGGAGUACUAACCACUAUACUAAGCAGGCCGAAAG
This 92-nucleotide transfer RNA is filed under the name Caenorhabditis elegans. RNAcentral describes it as "Unclassified non-coding RNA Y40H7A.308". Lineage: Eukaryota; Metazoa; Nematoda; Chromadorea; Rhabditida; Rhabditidae. The record is from RNAcentral.